GAUGAACGCUGGCGGCGUGCCUAAUACAUGCAAGUCGAGCGAACGGACGAGAAGCUUGCUUCUCUGAUGUUAGCGGCGGACGGGUGAGUAACACGUGGAUAACCUACCUAUAAGACUGGGAUAACUUCGGGAAACCGGAGCUAAUACCGGAUAAUAUUUUGAACCGCAUGGUUCAAAAGUGAAAGACGGUCUUGCUGUCACUUAUAGAUGGAUCCGCGCUGCAUUAGCUAGUUGGUAAGGUAACGGCUUACCAAGGCAACGAUGCAUAGCCGACCUGAGAGGGGGUUCGGCCACACGGGAACUGGAACACGGUCCAGACUCCUAGGGGAGGCAGCGGUAGGGAAUCUUCCGCAAUGGGCGAAAGCCUGACGGAGCAACGCGGCGUGGGUGAUGAGGGUCUUCGGAUCGUAAAACUCUUUAUUAGGGAAGAACAUAUGUGUAAGUAACUGUGCACAUCUUGACGGUACCUAAUCAGAAAGCCACGGCUAACUACGUG
Molecule: ribosomal RNA, 496 nt
Filed under: uncultured bacterium
Lineage: Bacteria
Description: partial 16S ribosomal RNA
Rfam family: Bacterial small subunit ribosomal RNA
Source: RNAcentral